GGGUGAAAGAGGGCGGGUUUGGGUCGGGCGCUGAGAGGAAUUCCUCGCUCUGAGGGCGGUGAGGCGCUGGCACAGGGUGCCCAGAGAAGCUGUGGCUGCCCCAUCCCUGGGGGUGUUCAAGGCCAGGCUGGAUGGGGCUUUGGGCAGCCUGGUCUGUGGGAGGUACAUUGCAGAUUUGUG
Molecule: long non-coding RNA, 180 nt
Organism: Oxyura jamaicensis (ruddy duck)
Lineage: Eukaryota; Metazoa; Chordata; Aves; Anseriformes; Anatidae
Exons: 3
Source: RefSeq, a predicted model, not a curated record